RNAcentral lists this ribosomal RNA (464 nucleotides) under Vreelandella stevensii. RNAcentral's name for it is "partial 16S ribosomal RNA". It matches the Rfam family "Bacterial small subunit ribosomal RNA", at positions 338 to 795 of the family's 1533-position model. The record is from RNAcentral. Lineage: Bacteria; Pseudomonadati; Pseudomonadota; Gammaproteobacteria; Oceanospirillales; Halomonadaceae.
CCUACGGGGUGCUGCAGUGGGGAAUAUUGGACAAUGGGCGAAAGCCUGAUCCAGCCAUGCCGCGUGUGUGAAGAAGGCCUUCGGGUUGUAAAGCACUUUCAGUGGGGAAGAAAGCCUUGGGGCUAAUACCCUCGAGGAAGGACAUCACCCACAGAAGAAGCACCGGCUAACUCCGUGCCAGCAGCCGCGGUAAUACGGAGGGUGCGAGCGUUAAUCGGAAUUACUGGGCGUAAAGCGCGCGUAGGCGGUCUGAUAAGCCGGUUGUGAAAGCCCCGGGCUCAACCUGGGAACGGCAUCCGGAACUGUCAGGCUAGAGUGCAGGAGAGGAAGGUAGAAUUCCCGGUGUAGCGGUGAAAUGCGUAGAGAUCGGGAGGAAUACCAGUGGCGAAGGCGGCCUUCUGGACUGACACUGACGCUGAGGUGCGAAAGCGUGGGUAGCAAACAGGAUUAGAUACCCGUGAGUC